UACGUAGGGUGCAAGCGUUGUCCGGAAUUAUUGGGCGUAAAGAGCUCGUAGGCGGUUUGUCGCGUCUGCUGUGAAAACUCGGGGCUUAACCCCGGGCCUGCAGUGGGUACGGGCAGACUAGAGUGCGGUAGGGGAGACUGGAAUUCCUGGUGUAGCGGUGAAAUGCGCAGAUAUCGGGAGGAACACCAAUGGCGAAGGCAGCUCGCUGGGACGGUACUGACGCUGAGGCGCGAAAGCGUGGGGAGCAAACAGG
RNAcentral lists this ribosomal RNA (253 nucleotides) under uncultured bacterium. RNAcentral describes it as "partial 16S ribosomal RNA". It matches the Rfam family "Bacterial small subunit ribosomal RNA", at positions 524 to 776 of the family's 1533-position model. The record is from RNAcentral.